This 391-nucleotide long non-coding RNA is filed under the name Setaria viridis. RNAcentral describes it as "long non-coding RNA (SVIR_LNC006741)". The record is from RNAcentral. Lineage: Eukaryota; Viridiplantae; Streptophyta; Magnoliopsida; Poales; Poaceae.
CACAUGGAUCCUUGAUGCGGUCAAGCAAAAUGGCCAGGCUGUCAAAGAUUUUCAGUUGGAUUUUUAUACUAUUCGUAUGGAUAAAUAAGGAGGUAUGCUUGCACUAGGGGAAUACAAUGAUCAACUCGGAGUCUCGGACCAAAAAAGAUUGGGGACCGGGUUGAUUUUCACCUAACAGAUUGUUCCAGUUGACAUCUCGAAGUACUUGCUCAUCCGUAUGCUACAACUACUAUUCAUCAACUGCCAAACAAGUUCACCGAAUUUUUGGCGAAUAAGAGCAGCCACCGUGUCGAGCUGAAAAUCGAUGCUCGGAAUAUCAGGCCAUGUUUAGUUACCCCCAACUCCCAACAUUGACACUAUGCAAAAAGAAGAUUCCACAUCACAUCAAACU